GACAUUUUCCCUUAUUUAUCUCUCUUGUCUCUUACAGGUCUGAAGUUUCCCGAUGCUGAUCAGCGAUACGACGAGUGCGUCGGAGACACGGCUGCUGGGCUGCACAUCGCGCACUUAUUGGCUCACGCGAUAAUCGUUUUCGGCUGUAAUGGAAAUUUCGGUUCUAGCCUGCAGCUUUUUGCCCGCUGAAAUUUGCAUUUCCGCGCGAGGGGGCUGCUGCCGGCUAAUGGAUACUUUGCUUGUAUAUGCACACUCGAGAGAGAGAGAGAGAGAGAGAGAGAGAGAGAGCAUCAUUAUGCAAUAUCAGCUGAUUCAGUUGUUCGACCUACUUCUGCUUCGAAUUAUACGUAUACACUCGAUUGUUUACAAUUAAAACGGCUUUUCAUAGAAUCACAAUAAGCUAGUCUCGUAUCAAAAUGAUUUUAAUAUAUAUCCUGCGCAGAGACUGAAAUAGCGGCGAACGAUUGAUCCCUAAAAGCUCCUGAAAUAAGCUAUCUCUCUGUAGAGAUACGCCGCAGAUAGUAGAACACCGAUCCAUAAAAGCUUUUCUUCAUUUUUAAUACACCUUCUGUACAACACACUCGACAGGGAAGCUCUCGGAUUAUGCAAGUCCUUGCGGCACAUCGUAAUGCAAUUAAAAAGUUGCUCGACCUCGUUUCCACCGAAAUUCCAAAACAAGGAUAAACAACGACCAGCUUCGCGACAAAGUCUCGCCGCGAGGAAAGAAACAGAAGGAGAGACGCACGGGUGAUUAACGCGAGGCGCUUACUCUGCUUUAUGGAUUAUUCAGAAGCGACUCGGAGGCAUUGUCCCGCGAGUUUAUAAAUAGUGUAGGCGCACUUGGCCGCAACUUAGAUGCUUUUGAGAUACGAUGUCGUCCGCGUGGAUUUACGAGAGACCGUUUCGUUCCGCUGCGUAGGUGUGUGUGUGUGUGUGUGUAGUCUAGUUUAUAAGUGGGAUUAGCGACUGAUUGCAGAGACGAAACGAUUGAAGCUUCGCCAUCCGUGAUACGUCGUCGAAAUAGAAUCUAACCGUAUGCAAGCCUCUGGUCCAUAUCGGAGAUGAAAACGAAGAGGAAAUCUCCCGCGCGUCCCUUUUACUUUUACGAGUGUAUAACCCAGAUAUAUCCGCAACCCCCAGCGGACCUCCACCGAGGUGUGUAAUGAAGGAAAUGGAGUGUCCUUUUUUAUCACGCGCUGCGCAUAAGCGCGAGUCUAUGUGAUAUAUCUGCGGUUUUCGAUGGAAAAGGAUUGGAUCUCGAUGGGACAUAAUGGGAGGGAAAUUGAAGAUUCCUUCGCCGCCCCCGAGGCUGGCUUCUUGUGUAAAGACUUCUUCUCUCUCUCUCUCUCUCUCCCUCUCUCUCUUGCGAUCGAACGGCGAUAAUUGGAUGGGACGAUUGGUGUAAUUGCUCGGCGCUGUGUAAUCCUGUUUUCUCCGAUGAUUUAUCGCGGAAUAUGUUUAAAAUACGUGAUUGACGAGUUAAUUCGCGCAAACUCUGCGGACCACAACGACCUUCUAUUUUUACCGGGAGGAAGAAAAAACACUGGGCUGCUGCCAAUUCCAAAAAGUAGACUAAUGAAAAAUUCCAGGGAGUCUCUCUGCAAGACGAAUGAAUCCCUCCGAAUCGAGUUUUGACCUUACACAAUGCGCGGAGUCACGUGUUUUCGGCGGCGACCUUUACACUCCUGACACGGAAAUCGCGCUUUGAAAAGAACGAGGUUUAUUCAGCGAGUAAUAUUCAUCUAUAUAAUUUUGUCUCCUGCGAGGAAAAGUUACGUGAAUCUCUAUAUAAGAAGCUAAUCUGACGUUCGCAGUAAAUUUCAGUAUACUCUGCUGCAAGGAUCACCAUUAAUCUUUCCCGUAUUUCAAAUUGAAUUCAGCUAUACAGCUUCGAACGUUAUUAAAACUAGUGCUUGUACGCGUCGUGUUUAUUUUCUCGGUAGUCGAGUAUACCGAGUAUACACUGCAGUUGAUUUUUCCACAUUUCUAACCAGCCGCAGAUAAUACACGAGACCAUAAAGCAAACACUCGGGUUCUACAGCUCGAUAAACUUUACGAUCCUUUCUCUCUUCACUUCGGACGCGUCGAUGGAGGCUGUGCGAAAGGUCUGAUUGAAAAGUCCGCCCGCCUAUACACACACACACACACCUACGUAUCGGAAAUCAAUCGAGUUUUUUUGCUAAUGGCAAAUUGCAUUUCUGCCGCGAUGAAAAAUUCCGUGCGGUGAACUUUGUAUUAGUUUUCAACUCUCUCUCUCUCGCGCGCGCGUGUGGUGUACUAUAAAAAAGUUCGGAGAGAGUGAUAUUUUUAAAUUUUCAGCGGGAACUCGAGCUUUUUUUUUUGAAAAAUUCGAAAGAAAAAUUCUCGCGAAUGUAAAAGUGGAGCUGUAAGCCAGUUUUAAUUGCUCGAUAAAUUAAAGCAAGAAAGUUCGUCUUCUUUCAAAAUUCCACUGUGGGGAAGAGCCUCGGAGACCUCGUCUGUACGCACAUCGUAGCCGCUGAACUAUUCAGCGCACGUAAACGGCUUACGCGCGGAAAUCGCGGCUCUCUCUCUCUCUCUAGGACUAUUGUUAUAUACAAGAAAAGUUUCCUCUCGACGAUAUUCCUCUGUGUGCACAAGGGCGUUUCCGAAAGGAAAAAAAUCGCGCACAAUCGUCGCACUGUAUCAUCACUCGAAGAACCUACUGUGAGAUCGUAGCACAAUGCAAGUGUGAUGACACAGAGAGGAGAACGACAACACUAUGGUGUAGCCGUACACCUGCGCGCACGUGUCGCCGGAGCCAGAUCACUCGCGCACAGGCUCUCUCUCUCUCUCUCUCUCUCUCUCUCUCUCUCUCUCUCCCUCGAGCGGGCGGGCGGGCUUACGCUGCGGCGUCGCGACGUCGACUGAACUGCUAUUUUGCCGCGGGAGAGAGAGUCGAGAGAUGGAUCGCGGAGGAGGGAAGAGGGCGCGAAGCGCGCGCAUGUACAUGGGGGGAUUUUAAUGGAAAUACAUUUUUGAUUAACGGAGGGGAUUGUGGUUAUGAGGGAUGUGUGAUUAAACGGUGUGAUUUCGUAUCAAAAUUUAAUUAUUGAUUAGAGGUGAUAUCUUAUUGAAAAUUAAAGUAAAGCUUUAUUCUAUAGCGUAUUACUUCCUGAGAUCACAGCGCUGAAUAAAAAUUUGAAUUUCCCGGUCAAAGCUUUCGAGCUUGGAUAAUCAUUCUGUAGCUAAUACAAUGCCAGUAAUCUCCGAAAGCCCUAAACGCGGUCCAUAACAUAAUAAUAAGAGGGUGGACCACCCAGUGAGAAUAUUUAAAGACUCCGUUUAACGACUCGCCAAACCGCCCCUAUACUUCUAAAAAGCGUGUGUUAGACGGCGAUAACGCCUGCAAGCGCAAGCAUCAGCGAAAAAUUUUUUCUCCACCGUAGAACCCUAAGAGCCUUCGUUACAAUGUAAAAAUGCUGAUUCGCCGCACUUUUCUCGGGCUAAUUUUUCCUUUUUCCUUAGCUACGUUUCACUAGGACCAAACGACUUAUCAUAUUGUAUUUUGUUUCCACCGCCGUGUCCUUUAGGCUCCUUCACUUUUCGUCUCGAGAGAUAGAGAAGAUUUUCAAAGGAUUUCCCGGAAACGAAAUCUAGAAGAGCUCGCCCCUUUGGUAUAGGAUAUAUAAAGAAUACAAGUGGCGAAAAUCAGGACGCCUUGGAAUAAAUCCUACUCACGGUCAAAGGGAUGAAGCAAAGCGCACGUGUGUGUGUGUAUAUAUUGUUUUGUCGUAAUAACGAAAUUCUUUUGUACCGCUUCUUUUGUUUGCCGUACGUCGAAAAAGCUUUGUCAAUCUUUUUUCACGCUCGACUAAUAAAAAUUUAAAAGAAGAAAUAGAGCCACGCGGAAACCAAAAAGCACAGCGUAAGCCAAUUACUGUUCCGGGAAAAUACACGUGCCGACGACUACAUCCGAGCUUUAAUUAUCCUGCGACUGAUUAUGUGUAUUAUGUCGAAGAACACAACAAAAAUUCACACUUUACGGAUAACUAGACCGAACACGUGUGCGUCGCGGGAAUUUCAAAAGUUGCGAAUAAUCCUGACGACUAUAUAUAUAUGCAUAAGCCUCCUCGCACAGUAGUAUACAACCAGGUCAGCCGGCUGCAGUUGUCCGCAAGGGCGUUUUGUUUAAAAGUCGUGCUGGAUUUCGGUCAAUUACCGGGGAGCCAACCGGCGCACGCUAUGCACGCGUAUAUAUAUGCGCUAGCUGUGCAUCGAUCAGCUGAGUCCAGAGCCAAGAUCAUUCCUCCGAAUGCCUGGGACUCAUGGGACGCCUCGUACACGUGUAUGCGUGGGGAAUGGGAAAUUACAUUUUGAUUGGAGCCCUAUGACGAAGGUUGCUUUCUUUCUUGCAAAUUUUAUUGCUUUUCGCCUUCGCAGUUAUCGUCGUUUUUAUCGUACAUUUAUGGAAUAUCAUGCGUGGUUUGAAUCGUUGACUGUAGACGAUUGACGAGGCCGAAUCGAUUUGAGGUACGUGAACGUGUAUUUCAUUUUAUCGAGCGGUACAUGCAUGGAUAAAUCGAAAGAAUUAAAAACCGAUAGAAAACAACGCUUCAGCGUCAUACGCGUCCCUGAACGUAUAACGUUUUGAUUGUUUCGCCAAAUUACCGAUUCAAGGAACAAUCUUUUCCAAUUAACGUGUGUAUUUAAUUUUCGUUACAUUAUCGCAGUAUUGUUGUUUACCCGACAAAACUAAAAUACUACACUAUUUCAAACUUUGUACAUACGCGCCUUUUGUACAGCGAUAUUUCUCCAAAGAAAUAUUUCAAUAUCAAGCGAGCGUAUUUUUCAAUCGAAACAACGCUAAAUGGCCCGAGGCGUUUCCGAACAGUGCCAUCGGGUCACGGCACGUCGUAUCGUAUCGUUUUUCGAUAGACGCUUAUUCGCAUCGCUUUCCACGCACAAGACGAUCUGUAUAAGCGUAGAAGGCCAAAAAUUUUAAAAAAAGCGCCGAGCUUUCAAAAUUUACGAAUAAAAGCAUCGAAGCCUCUCUCGGGACGUUCAUUUCGAGUGAUAUACCGCGUGGCGAAGUAGAAAUGCGCGAUUCCGAUCAGACGCGCGAGCGAUACGAGCUUCGCUGGAAAAAUGGAACGCCUCGCGCUCUUUAUUAGGUCUAAUGCUGGAAUAGGCAAUUUCGUUCUUUCUUAUAUUCCCAUCUACUUACAUCGAUCCGCACCGGAGAUAUACGUUAUACGCAAUUUGAAUUUCUCGAUAAGUAUUAUACCGCGCGCGUGUUUUCACCGAAAAGCUCUACGUUCCAUAUAUCUCGUUCGCGAGAAAAGCUCUCUUUUUUCGAAUUUCCGCAAAAAACAGCGAAUAGCCCGGCUGAUUCAAAACGUCGUGACGACGUGUGCGACACGCGGUUAUACACGUAACAGCGUCGAGCUCGCGCUCUGGUAAGUAUUAUUUUCGUCUUCCCAGUCAUUCGGCAGAAAUUUCUCCCGCUGCUGUCUCUCGUCUUCUUCCCGCGCUUGCUUUUCUUUUUUGCUUCUCAUUUUCACCGCCGGCCGCGAUAAAUUCGUCGCGCUAAUGAUAAAUCCGAGAAGUGGACUAGAGGGAAUGUCUGAGCUGAAAAAGCUCUCAUAUGAGUGUAGCGUAUAGGGCGUAUACGAAAAUAAAGCUCGCAAGCUCAGAACGUGGAGCUUUUUUAGGGCCGUUCGACUGGCCGUUUUACGGAUGGACUGAAUUUUUUACAGGUUUAAAUACGACGAGUUCCCGGUACACGAGCACGCGUCGGGAUUGCAAAAGCUUCCGAUAAUCGCGAUCCGAAAGUCCGGGAUUAUGUGACUUCGUGGAAUUCCAUUCGUCUCCGAUUCUUUUUUCCCCGUGACACACGUUAAAUACGAGUGUUUUUGUUGUUCCAAGCCUGACGCGCGUGUGAGUUUUCGAUUAUUAUUAGAAACUCGAGCAUCGGCGCCGCGGCCGACAUAUCCAGCGAUAGCUCGGCAUUUUAAUAAGCGUAAACCAGUCGAGCUAACGAGAUGCUCCUCCUCUCUCGUAAUUUAUUUAUAACAAUGACUUGGAUUAUGCAACUUUUCCCGGCAUAAAAAUAUCCUACAGUCGUAUACUCCUCGGCUUUCAACUAUACUUCUUUUCGGAACCAGUCGGGCGGAGAUAACGAGUUUUCGAAAACUUGAAAUAAUAAUUCGUCUCUCUGUUUCCUGAAGUUGUAUAGCUGAGCUUCAGGGUAUUUUUUAUUUCGAGUUUUUCGCGGGGAAACAGUCGAAAACUUUCGAUAACUUAGUUUUUUCCUGGUGUAGCGCCAGACUCGAACAGCUGACGUAUCGGAUGGGAAACAGGGAUUAAGUUGCUCGAAACUUUCGGCUCUGUGUUGACACGGCUGCAUCUGUCUUUUCUUCGCUGAAAAGGAUGAGAAGCUAUUAAACCGAAACUCACAACAGUUAGACGUUCUUAUUUUAGACGCUCUUGGGUCAUUCAUCUCUUCCGCUUGAUUUUUCAUAAUUUUAUUAUUAGCCAAUCGCUAUACCAAUAUGACUCUGACAAUAGAAGUUGGUAUCAAAAGUCAAAGCCACAGCGUUAUCAAUAAAGCUUCCUCCCACAAAGCUCUCGAAGCAAUCAAAGCGCGGGAAAACGUCGAACUUCAAAGGCACUGGACGGAUUAGUCUCUCAGCGAUUACCUGUAUACGUUAUACCGCCUGAAGCAACACAGGUACACACGUAUAGACUAUACGAACGUCGUCCCUCGAUAAUUUCAGCCAAUUAUGCAUCGAAUCGAUUAGUCUCUCUCUCACCUUAUCCUGGCACAGGUCGACGAGAGGACGAGAAUAUAUAUAUACCGACAGUGGCAGUAGGGGCCGUUGGAUUAUAUUAUUAUACGCUCGAUUCUGCAGGAUGAAACGAGGGAUUACGAGGUGCGUGUAGCUCGUGCGAUAGCGGGCGAUUAUAUGGUCGCGCGAGAUGCGUUUGCGUGCGUUAAAUACCGCGUGUUGCGUUGACGUACGGGGAUUCCCCCCCGGAUUUGUUGGGGCUGAUCCGCGUGAUUUGUAGAGAUGCGUCGGUCGAUUUUACUGGGCUGCAAAUAGAUCGCGCAUGAACGCUGUUUUCGAAUCGAUUAUUAAUUUUUUUUAUUUGGAUUGGUUGAUCAUUGAAUUAUUAAAAAAAUUCUAAGUAUUUAAAAAAAUAUACAUCCCCUCUAAAAAAAGUGAUGGCCUAUGUAUUGAAGCAUUUGUUGUGAAGCAUUUAAUACGUCCCGAGUAGAAAGCCAAUCCGGAUAACCUUAGUUUUAAUUAGGCCCUGAACAGGCUCGCCUGUAUAAAACUUCAGGCGCUACAUCAGGCAUAAGACCCCGCCAAGAUCCGGUCCUGCUCCGGAUUUUCUGUUAAAAAAUUCUUUUCUAAUCAGCACCGUACAGUUGCCGGAACACUCCCUUAAUGCUGAAAGUUUUCUGUACCACGUAUUAGUGCCAUAUCAUUGCCGGAGCAUGUCCUUAAAAAAUGCAACAUAACCUGUGUAACAUAGCAUAGUACUGUAAGUGCAUCGAUAGCAUCAGCUAAAUAAAUAUUGUUAAUAUUAAAAGUAUAUUUGAUAAUACAGGCAAUAUGGACAUUCAUUAUGUAUAGAGUUGCAGAGAGCAGGAAACUAAGAAAUCGUAACUAUCAACUAAACUGUUAUUAUAUUUAACGACAUAUUUAUAAUUUUUUACAGAAAGCUCACCUUAUAUGCACUGUUAAUGCAGAUAAUAAGGAAUUUCUGGAUGAAUUAACAAAAUUAUUGAAAAAAUUUUUGUCCAGGGAAAUACUUACGUCUCACACAGCACAAAGAUUAAGUAGUACAAAGAAACCUAUUUUUAAGUCAACUAAUUUUUAUAUAUGUUUGAAAGAUUCACUUAAGCAUGUGUAUUCGGGAAAAAUGUUAUAGAAGAUGAGGUGUUAUGUAAAAUAAUUGGGGCUAUCAUUAAUAAUGCCUACGAUUGGGAAGGUCAUAGGCAUAAAAGGCAAAGACUAAAUAUUAAGUUUUUUUAAAAAGUUUUGUAUUUCUGUAACAAAGUUUUGUAUAAGUUGUCCUUAUUUCAAUCGAAAAUUUGUAUUUUACAUAAUAUAAGAAAAAUAAAUAAAUAAAAUGUUUAAUGCAA
Nasonia vitripennis (jewel wasp) is the source of this 8113-nucleotide long non-coding RNA. RefSeq lists it as uncharacterized. The transcript is spliced from 2 exons. NCBI's taxonomy places the organism in Eukaryota, Metazoa, Arthropoda, Insecta, Hymenoptera, Pteromalidae. The record is from RefSeq and is a predicted model, not a curated record.